AAGGACUAGACCAUCAAUGGAGGGUGCUUCUCUAAGCUUGCUAAUGAACUUUCAUAACCAAACAACUUCUUUACCAGUAUCAAAUGUCGCAAAGAACUCCAUAUCACAAAUAAAAUUGACUACUAAAUACUGUAUAGAACCUUUCCAGCAUGUCGCUUCUCUUUUUAGGAUAAAAAAUAUAACUUGACACAACUUUGUCAUUUCGAUCCGAUUAGUAACUGAAAUCAAUAUUCCACAAAUUUUAAGUCAGAUUCUUCAUAAACGAACCAUUAAUCUUUAGUAUUUUACAAAUACUUAAGGAUAGUUCUAAUAACCUUCCAAACCUUUAUGA
This 331-nucleotide long non-coding RNA is filed under the name Elaeis guineensis (African oil palm). Its description in RNAcentral is "long non-coding RNA (EGUI_LNC066016)". The record is from RNAcentral. Lineage: Eukaryota; Viridiplantae; Streptophyta; Magnoliopsida; Arecales; Arecaceae.